RNAcentral lists this ribosomal RNA (342 nucleotides) under Hercostomus plagiatus. Its description in RNAcentral is "partial 12S ribosomal RNA". The record is from RNAcentral. Lineage: Eukaryota; Metazoa; Arthropoda; Insecta; Diptera; Dolichopodidae.
UAGAAAAUGUAUUUAUAAAGAUCAGAGUUAGUAUUAGUUAAGGUCUUGAAACUCAAAAAAUUUGGCGGUAUUUUAGUCUAUUUAGAGGAACCUGUAGUGUAAUCGAUAAUCCACGAUGGACCUCACUUAAUUUUGUUUUCAGUUUGUAUACCGCUGUUAUUUGAAUAUUUUAUAAGAAUAUUAAUUUUCUUAAUUUUUAAUUAAAAAAUAAAUCAGGUCAAGGUGCAGCUUAUGAUUAAGUAUUUAUGGGUUACAAUAAAUUUAUUUAUAUGGAUGAAAUUAUGAAAUUUAAUUUUUGAAAGCGGAUUUAAUAGUAAAUUUUUAGAGAUAAAAGAAUUGAUU